RNA transcript from Prunus dulcis (almond), 1359 nucleotides. It is a transcript of the gene named UPF0481 protein At3g47200-like, with no coding region annotated. The transcript has a single exon. Lineage: Eukaryota; Viridiplantae; Streptophyta; Magnoliopsida; Rosales; Rosaceae. The record is from RefSeq and is a predicted model, not a curated record.
AUGGAAGAAUGCAAUCAUGCUGGUCCAAAUGACACAAUUAACAUGCCAUACGUUCCAUUAGAAACUUCAUUGAGGGAGGAGUUAGAUAGCUUGCCUGCCUUGUCCUCUUCGUGUUGUAUCUACAGAGUUCCCAAUGACAUACGACGUCUGUAGGAAAAGGCCUACACACCUCAAGUCAUCUCCAUAGGUCCACUUCAUCAUGGCAAGGAAGGUUUAGAAGCCAUGGAAGAGCUGAAAAAGAGGUACCUACGAGAUUUUAUGUGUCGGACUUAGAUAAGCUUGAAGGACUAUAUCAAGAAAAUAAGGGACCAAGAAGCAAGACUGAGAAGUUGUUAUGCAGAACCCAUCAAGUUUAGGAGUGAAGAAUUUGUAAAAAUCAUUCUAGUGGAUGCUGCCUUCACUAUUGAGUUCUUAUUGAGGAGACCGUUUAUUAAACAAACCGUGGAUGUUCAGGUAUGUACAGCCUGACAUGUGGAUGCUUGAAAAUCAGCUCCCAUUCUUCAUUCUUGAGGAUCUUUAUCACACAUACAUAAUAACCGACUCUUUUAGGAAUUAUUACAGUACUCAUGAUCAUGAGAGGCUUUCAAUAAUUAAUAUUUCAAAGAAUUUCUUCACAGCUGGAAUAUUGAAUUUGGAGGGGAAGGGAGACAAAUGGAACAGAAUAUCAUCUUCUUCUAGUUCUAUUAAUGUGCAACACUUUGUUGAUCUUAUAAGAAUUUUCUAUCUACCAUUGGAAUCAGAAUUAAGAGAUGCAGGGGAGCUCAAAACCUUGAACAUACCUAGCAUCAAAGAGAUGCACCAGGCUGGAGUCAAAAUUAAGGUAGGAUCAAGCAAAAACUUAGUCGACAUACAAUUUGCAAAUGGAACUCUCAAAAUUCCUAAAAUAAUGAUAACUGGUGACAAACUGCGGACCCUGGGAAAUGUCAUUGCCUUUGAACAAUGCCAUUGCAUGGAAGACGACUACUUAAACGAUUAUGUUAGCAUCAUGGGUCGUUUUGCGAACACUCCAAAGGAUGUGGAGUUGCUUGUUGAGUUUGGAAUUUUUCAAACUGCGGGUACCACCAGCGUGGUUUCAUCUAUGAUUACCAAACUUGCCUCUGAGGCUCUUUUCUUUGUCGACAGAUUCUGUUACGCGACUCUUUGUGAAGAGCUGAACAACUUCUGCAGAUCGUCCUGGAACAAAUGGAAGGCAAAUUUGAGACAAAAUUAUUUCAACACACCUUGGGCAUCUAUUUCUGUCAUUGCCGCUGUUGUUCUCCUCACACUCACUCUCAUACAAACGGUGUGCUCUGUUAUCUCUGCUACUUAACCAUUAAAGGGUAAGUCCCUGCUUUGCCGCUUUCUCUUCUGACAAUAAUA